Molecule: long non-coding RNA, 1013 nt
Organism: Oncorhynchus tshawytscha (Chinook salmon)
Lineage: Eukaryota; Metazoa; Chordata; Actinopteri; Salmoniformes; Salmonidae
Source: Ensembl
AUGCCUCUCGGGGAGAGCUCUGGAGUGGACAAACGGCAAAGGGAGACGUGGAGUUGGACCACUUCGAGGAGUUCACCCGUCGCUUCCAGGCCAUCUUCGACCAUCCGCCCAAAGGUAGAGCGGCGGGGGAACGGCUCUUCCAUUUGAGGAAGGGGACGAGGAGCCGCCGGAGCAGGCUGGAACGACUGGGUCCUCACCGACCACUAUCGGUGCAGUCUGCGCGAGGACGUCAGACGUGAGCUGGCCUUCAGGGAUGCCACCAUCUCCUUUGACCAACUGGUGGAUUUGUCCAUCCGGUUGGAUAACCUGCUGGUCAUCCACGGACGUCCAGAGGGGGCUCUGUCAGGGCCAUUUUCCAGCACCCCCACUCCGGUGCCCAUGGAGUUUGGAGGGGCUUCGCGUAGGGAGACUGGAGGAGGAGCCAUCAUGUGCAGUAUCUGUGGCCGCAGAGGGCACAAUGCCGGUCGGUGCCGUGUCGGUUCCUCUGGGAGUCGAGGCAACAGGCAGGGCACUCUGGCGUCACCCCAGGUCUUCCUAUGGUGCUACAGACUGCGGAAGCCCUGUUUACUCAUAUCUUCCGGCACUACGGGGUGCCUGAGGAUAUACUGUCUGAUCGGGGUCCCCAGUUCACGUCGAGAGUGUUGAAGGCGUUCCUGGAACAUCUGGGGUUCUCGGUCAGCCUUACCCCGGGUUUUCACCCCGAGAAUAACAGUCAGGUAGAGAGAGUCAACCAGGAUGUGGGCAGGUUUCUGCGGUCCUAUUGCCAGGACCGGCCGGGGGAGUGGGCGGCAUUCGUCCCCGAGGUCAGGUGUCUGCGUGACGCUGGAGCCGCGCGUCAAGGGGGGGAUACUGUCACGAUUUCCGCCAAUGUCGGCUCCUCUCCUUGUUCGGGCGGCGUUCAGCGAUCGACGUCACCGGCUUUCUAGCCAUCGCCGCUCCAUUUCUCAUAUAUCCAUUUGUUUUGUCUUGUUCCAUACACACCUGGUUCCAAUUCCGUUAUCACUGCAUGUAUU